GGGGAUGUAGCUCAGUUGGUAGAGUACUUGCCUCACACGCACAAGGCCCUGGGUUCAAUCCCCAGCACCACCA
This 73-nucleotide transfer RNA is filed under the name Ictidomys tridecemlineatus (thirteen-lined ground squirrel). RNAcentral's name for it is "Spermophilus tridecemlineatus (thirteen-lined ground squirrel) tRNA". It matches the Rfam family "tRNA". From Rfam's summary of the family: Transfer RNA (tRNA) molecules are approximately 80 nucleotides in length. Their secondary structure includes four short double-helical elements and three loops (D, anti-codon, and T loops). The record is from Rfam by way of RNAcentral. Lineage: Eukaryota; Metazoa; Chordata; Mammalia; Rodentia; Sciuridae.